UCUUGGUCAUUUAGAGGAAGUAAAAGUCGUAACAAGGUUCCUACAUGGCGGGCUCGAAUCAUUUGAUUUUGUCGUCUCAGCGGAAGCCUUGUCAAGUAAAGUCUGCCCCUUUGGCGGGCGACACUCGCCUGUAGCUGGAAGGUUUUCCCCUGCCUUGGGGGCUUUGGGAUCAACAAUCAGCUGCUGCAUGCUAAACCAUGUAGUUCACAGAUCAAACGCGAGUGGCCUAAAUUCUUCUCCUGGUUGGGUUGAGAGAUGAAAAAGGUUGAGAUAUGACCGUAGCAGCUCUGCGAGGAGUCUGAUAUUCUAGUUCCGUAGGUGAACCUGCGGAAGGAUCAUUA
Molecule: ribosomal RNA, 341 nt
Filed under: Klauderuiella thallincola
Lineage: Eukaryota; Fungi; Ascomycota; Lecanoromycetes; Teloschistales; Teloschistaceae
Description: partial 18S ribosomal RNA
Source: RNAcentral